This 1960-nucleotide ribosomal RNA is filed under the name human gut metagenome. RNAcentral's name for it is "bacterial LSU rRNA". It matches the Rfam family "Bacterial large subunit ribosomal RNA", at positions 3 to 1980 of the family's 2925-position model. The record is from RNAcentral.
UCAAGCUACUAAGGGCAUACGGUGGAUGCCUUGGCACUAAGAGCCGAUGAAGGACGCGGUAAGCUGCGAAAAGCCACGGGGAACUGCAAGCAAGUCUUGAUCCGUGGAUGUCCGAAUGGGGAAACCCACCAUCCGUCAUGGGAUGGUAUCCUACGGGAGGGGAACCCGGUGAACUGAAACAUCUAAGUAGCCGGAGGAAGAGAAAUCAAACGAGAUGCCCACAGUAGCGGCGAGCGAAGAGGGCAGAGCCUAAACCAGUCAUCUUCGGAUGGUUGGGGUUACGGACCUGCAUCAACCGAGUCCUACCUAGUCGAAUUACCUGGAAAGGUAAGCCAGAGAGCGUAAGAGCCGCGUAGGUGAAAGGAAGGACGAGGGGGCAGGGAUCCAGAGUACCACGAAGCACGAGGAAUUUUGUGGGAAGUCGGGGGGACCACCCUCCAAGGCUAAACACUUCUUAGUGACCGAUAGCGCAUAGUACCGUGAGGGAAAGGUGAAAAGAACCGCGGGAGCGGAGUGAAAGAGAACCUGAAACCGUAUGUCUACAAGCAGUCGGAGCGCAAGCGACGGCGUGCCUAUUGAAGAAUGAGCCAACGAGUUACGGGCACCAGCGAGGUUAAGCAGGAAAUGCGGAGCCGGAGCGAAAGCGAGUCUAAACAGGGCGAAUAGUUGGUGUUCGUAGACCCGAAACUGUAGUGAUCUACCCAUGAUCAGGUUGAAGCGCAGGUAAAAAUGCGUGGAGGACCGAACCGGUGAGCGUUGAAAAGCUUUCGGAUGAAUCGUGGGUAGCGGUGAAAUUCCAAUCGAACGCAGAGAUAGCUGGUUCUCCUCGAAAUAGCUUUAGGGCUAGCCUCAAGCAGUAAGCAUAGGCGGUAGAGCACUGAUCGGGAUAGGGUCCGUAAAGGAUACCGAACCCUGUCAAACUACGAAUGGUUAUGCUGCAGAGCUUGGGAGUCAGACUACGAGAGAUAAGUCCCGUUGUCAAAAGGGAAACAGCCCAGACCGUCAGCUAAGGUCCCCAAUGCCAUACUAAGUGGAAAAGGAUGUGGGGUCUCAUAAACAACCAGGAUGUUGGCUCAGAAGCAGCCACCAUUUAAAGAGUGCGUAAUAGCUCACUGGUCGAGAGGCCCUGCGCCGAAGAUUCCCGGGGCUAAAGUAUGGAACCGAAGCUACGGAUGCGGUACUUGUACCGCGUGGUAGAGGAGCGUUCCCAUUGGGUUGAAGUCGUCCUGGAAGGGACGGUGGACUGGUGGGAAGUGAGAAUGUUGGCAUGAGUAGCGAAAAGAUAGGUGAGAAUCCUAUCCACCGAAAGCAUAAGGAUUCCUGAGCAACGAUCGUCGUCUCAGGGUAAGUCGGGACCUAAUCCGAGGCAUGGAGCGUAGGAGAUGGACAACUGGUUGAUAUUCCAGUACCGGCAGCAAUCGUUUGAACGAUGGAGUGACGCAGGAAGGCAGGUCCGCGCGAGAAUGGUAGAUCGCGUACAAGCGUGCAGGCUGGUGCACAGGCAAAUCCGUGUACUGAGGCUGAGGCGUGAUGUGGAGGGAACUUGUUCCCGAAGGGAUUGAGCCUACGCUGCCGAGAAAAGCUUCUAGUGAGAAAGCUGCCGCCCGUACCGUAAACCGACACAGGUAUGCGGGGAGAGAAUCCUAAGGUGCGCGGGAGAACCCUCGUUAAGGAACUCGGCAAAAUGUACCCGUAACUUCGGGAUAAGGGUAGCCACAGUGGUGAAGGGACUUGCUCCUGGAGCCUAGUGUGGUCGCAGAGAAGAGGCCCAAGCGACUGUUAACCAGAAACACAGGUGCCUGCGAAAGAGAAAUCUGAUGUAUAGGUGCUGACACCUGCCCAGUGCUGGAAGGUUAAAGAAGGAUGUCCGGGUUCGACCCAAAGCAUUUGACUGAAGCCCCAGUGAACGGCGGCCGUAACUAUAACGGUCCUAAGGUAGCGAAAUUCCUUGUCGGGUAAG